GACGAACGCUGGCGGCGUGCCUAAUACAUGCAAGUAGAACGCACAGUUUAUACCGUAGCUUGCUACACCAUAGACUGUGAGUUGCGAGCGGGUGAGUAACGCGUAGGUAACCUGCCUGGUAGCGGGGGAUAACUAUUGGAAACGAUAGCUAAUACCGCAUAAUAUUAAUUAUUGCAUGAUAAUUAAUUGAAAGGUGCAAUUGCACCACUACCAGAUGGACCUGCGUUGUAUUAGCUAGUAGGUGAGGUAACGGCUCACCUAGGCGACGAUACAUAGCCGACCUGAGAGGGUGAUCGGCCACACUGGGACUGAGACACGGCCCAGACUCCUACGGGAGGCAGCAGUAGGGAAUCUUCGGCAAUGGACGAAAGUCUGACCGAGCAACGCCGCGUGAGUGAAGAAGGUUUUCGGAUCGUAAAGCUCUGUUGUAAGAGAAGAAAGGGUGUGAGAGUGGAAAGUUCACACUGUGACGGUAUCUGACCAGAAAGGGACGGCUAACUACGUG
This 505-nucleotide ribosomal RNA is filed under the name uncultured bacterium. Its description in RNAcentral is "partial 16S ribosomal RNA". It matches the Rfam family "Bacterial small subunit ribosomal RNA", at positions 28 to 507 of the family's 1533-position model. The record is from RNAcentral.